This 1431-nucleotide long non-coding RNA is filed under the name Mus caroli (Ryukyu mouse). Its description in RNAcentral is "lncRNA (MGP_CAROLIEiJ_G0004825.1)". Lineage: Eukaryota; Metazoa; Chordata; Mammalia; Rodentia; Muridae. The record is from RNAcentral.
AGAAGAACAUGAAGCCAGUGGACAGCGCAGCCUUCAUCAGGCUGGGGGUCAGGCCCUUGAAGAAGCCCCGGGUGCCUUCUUCCUGUAGUACCUGCUGGAUGAGGUCCAGGAGGCCCCUGUAGCUCCGCACCUGGGGAGAGGAAGGUGGAGACUGAAAAGGAAGCAGGGACCUAAACCACGGCUGCCCACCCCCAUAACUGCUUGCGGGGUGAAGGAGGCCCUGGAGGAAGGGGCUCCUCACUCUUUCUAAUGCAUGCUGUUAACUGGGGAAGGGCCUGGGGUCAGCAGCUGGAGAGCGAGAGCUCCUUCCUGAUGUAGAACUCUCGGCUACUUCUCCAGCACCACGUCUGCCUACGCGCCACCAUGCUUCCCACUAUGGUGACAGUGGACGAAACCUCUGAACUGUAAGCCACCCCCAAUUAAAUGUUUUCCUUUAUAAUGUUGCUGUGAGGCCCAGCACUCGCCUUUAAUCACCACCCCCUACACACACACACACACACACUGGGGAGGUGGAGGAAGGUGGAUCUGAGUUCUAGGACAACCAGGGCUAGCUACAUGGAGAACUCAUGACUUGAAAAGCAAAACAAAAAGUUGCUAUGCUCAUGGCGUCAACUUCAACUAAGACACCCCCAAAACCAAAGAAACAAAGAAAACACCUAAGAAGGGAAGCCUUUGAAAAGGCCGUCAAAUUAGCCCACAGCUGGAGCCAGCACAGCGACCAGGAGGUCAGGACACUGGUUCCCCGCCUUGCCUUCUCUCAUUCACCCUGGAACUCUUCCAGUAGGUUCCCCUGGGAGACUCAGUCGGGUUAAACCAGGGCAGAGGACUAAGUCACUAAGUCUUCUUAGGGGUGACUGGGCUGCCCAGUCCUUCAUGGUCUCAAGUUUCCCUCAGUCUAAGAGACAGCAAAGAUGCAGGCCUCCUGGCUCGUUGUCCACAGAUGCCAAGAAGCUAGCGAGUCUGCCUGCAAACCCAGCCGGAAACUGCACCAUUCAAACCAAACACAAGGUGGGAGAGGCUGUUGUGUCCGGAUUUCUAGAAAUGAGCACUUCUGCAUUGCUGGAGACGGGUCCAGAAGACUGGGUUUUGACUCUUAGGGAGACUGAGGCAGAAGAACCACAGUGUGAGGGCCAGCCUGGACUACACAGCUCGACUCAGUCUUAAAGGCUAAAAGGAAAACUGUGACUCACACCUGUAACGUAGCACCCAGGAGGCAAGGGCAAGAGGACUGGGAGCCAGCCUGGGCUAUAUAAGACCUCAAGACAUUUAGAAAUUCAGACAAAAGGCAAAAUGCUAGGCAAACAUGUACAAGACCCUGGGUCCUGCUCCCAAGCACGAAAAGGGGUCAUGGUAGAGCUCAGGGUAGAGUCCCUGCUUUUAUACACAAAGCCCUGAGUUUAUAAACCCAUUGUUACAAAUAAAUAAAUAAAU